This 406-nucleotide ribosomal RNA is filed under the name uncultured bacterium. RNAcentral describes it as "partial 16S ribosomal RNA". It matches the Rfam family "Bacterial small subunit ribosomal RNA", at positions 30 to 526 of the family's 1533-position model. The record is from RNAcentral.
AUUGAACGCUGGCGGCAGGCCUAACACAUGCAAGUCGAACGAGUGGCGGACGGGUGAGUAAUGUCUGGGAAACUGACUGAUGGAGGGGGACAACUACUGGAAACGGUAGCUAAUACCGCAUACCAUCAGAUGUGCCCAGAUGGGAUUUGCUUGUUGGUGGGGUAACGGCUCACCAAGGCGGCGAUCCCUAGCUGGUCUGAGAGGAUGACCAGCGACGCUGGAACGAAGACCCGGACCAGACUCCUACGGGAGGCAGCGGUGGGGAAUAUUGCACAAUGGGCACAAGCCUAAUGCAGCCAUGCCGCGUGUAUGAAGAGGGCCUUCGGGUUGUAAAGUACUUUCAGCGGGGAGGCGUUACCCGAAGAAGAAGCACCGGCUAACUCCGUGCCAGCAGCCGCGGUAAUAC